Molecule: small nuclear RNA, 188 nt
Rfam family: U2 spliceosomal RNA
About the family: U2 is a small nuclear RNA (snRNA) component of the spliceosome (involved in pre-mRNA splicing).
UUACCACUCUGGCCUUUUGGCUUAGAUCAAGUGUAGUAUCUGUUCUUAAUAGUUUAACCACUAUUAUGGAGGCACCGCCUCCAUUACUGGUUAUCUAAUUUUUGCCGCCCUUGCCUCUGGGCUCUGCUUGCAACCUGGAGGCGCGAUGACCUUGCCACUGCAGUAUCGGCUUGUGUCGUCGGGGGACC